Molecule: long non-coding RNA, 1850 nt
Filed under: Mus musculus (house mouse)
Lineage: Eukaryota; Metazoa; Chordata; Mammalia; Rodentia; Muridae
Description: RIKEN cDNA 6330407A03 gene (6330407A03Rik)
Source: RNAcentral
GAAGAAAAUCAAAAAUUACCAUUUUCUCAUGCAUGCCUUCCCAGAACUCAGAACCCAAAUGUAAAUCUCUCACAGAAUUGAUGGGACCUGAGGGGACUGGAUUUGACUAGGAAAUGACAACACUGGACAGCUGUGGUUUCCCAUGCUGAGUGGACAGUGUGGUGAGGAAUUUAAUUAAAAAUGAAAAUUCGGUAGAAUUUUGUGAUAUGCUGUUGAAGUACAUACAUAAAGUAAAUAAUGUCGAAGUAGUGUCAGGAGUAGUGUCAAGGCAUUUAAUUCUAGCACUUGGGAUGCAGAGGCCAGUCUGGUCUACAGAGUGACUUCCAGCAAAGCUAGAAUGACACAGGUAAUCCCUGUCCAGAAAAAAAAAAAAAGAAGUUUUCAAACUUCCAACAUACUACAGAGGUACAAAGUAUUGUAUUUUAUUUUAGCGUUGGGAUUUUUAUUGUAAUAUUACAUGAUGUUUGCUUGUGUUUUGUGUUCUUUAAACCUUAAAUUUUUCCUUUUAGUUUUAUCUUACUGAUUUUUACAAUGCAUUUACUUAUGUAUUGCUUAUGAGCCAGGGCCUUCAGUUUAAGUAGCAGAAGAUGACACUGAACUGAUCCUCCUGUCUCUACCCCAGGUGCUGGGACCACUGAGCCAAUUUUACAUUUUAUAUAUAUAUAAAAAGAUAUGGUCUGAAACUGAGUGACAGCCUUCCCUAGAGUAUUAGUCCCCUGGAAAGCCAGUAGUGUCUCUGUCUGGACUCUGAGCGAUGUAGAAAGUGAAGGCAAAAUUGCUAAGUGCCAGCCACUGCCUCAGUACUGGCUGGUGGUCACAUGCUGUGUGUUCCUAACACCAUACUCAAGAUGUAUAGCCUCUGCCAGCCUCACCCACACAGACUAACCCCUGGCUCCUAUUUCUCCCAAGUACUGAGUCACAGCUUCUCUGGCACUCUUGGUUCAUGGUCCUCCAACUACAGUUUUUUUUUUUUCUAGUAGUCCUAGAAUGGAAGAUAUUCUGCGAGUAGUGAAUCCAAAACUGGAAUACAUUUUGGAUAUAAGGACACAAUGCUGUUUGAAAAGAUGUCAUACAUUAGAAGGAAGAAUCCUAUUUCUGUUAUAUUUUAAUAAUCACAGUCACUCGCAAAUGGGUCAAGUGUAUCUUGACAUGAAACUUCUCAAACUGUCCUGUUUCUGUUCCAUUGAUUUGCAGUUGACACUUGCUAGUUUUGAAUCACACCAGACACAGCCAACCUGGUUUCACAAAGCUAAGAUGUGAGGGAGGGAGGUGUACAUAGCUGAGCCAGUGCUGGAACAAGCCUUCACCAUGGCAUAUCCCCUGAAAGCUUGAGGUCCCCUAGAGCAUUCUGUCACUUGGUGCCCUGAGGUGGCUUGACCCCCAAGAGCCAUCCUUUUAUAUCAUCUCUUCUUGGCCUCAUUUUUAAGAGGAACAGCUCUGAAUCUGCACUGGCUUUUGCUUCUUAUUUCUCAUUUUAAACUCCUGGGGUCUGUUAAAGUCUCUCCAGGACACUUCAUUGUCCUGCAAUGUAUCGUUUAGCCAGUUAGUAAAGUGUCUUAUUUGUUAAGCUUUGAGAAUCUUGGGCCAGGUUCAUGUGGAGUUAACCUUUAAUCUCUGUGAGUUUGAGACCAGGGUUUUUUGAGACAGAGUUGGCUAUCCUGGACUCAUUUUGUAGACUAGGUUGACUCAUUUUGUACACUAAGCUGGUCUUGAACUCACAGAGGUCCACCUGCUUCUGCCUCCUGAGUGCUGUGAUUAAAGGCAUGUGCCACGCCACACCUAGCAUAACCAUGUUUUUACAGGAGUAAAACAUUGUAGCUUAUGUGGAUACCUUGAUAAUGAAAAAAAAA